UACGUAGGGUGCAAGCGUUAAUCGGAAUUACUGGGCGUAAAGCGUGCGCAGGCGGUUUAGUAAGGCAGGCGUGAAAUCCCCGGGCUCAACCUGGGAACUGCGCUUGUGACUGCAGAGCUAGAGUGUGUCAGAGGGAGGUAGAAUUCCGCGUGUAGCAGUGAAAUGCGUAGAUAUGCGGAGGAAUACCGGUGGCGAAGGCGGCCUCCUGGGAUGAGACUGACGCUCAUGUACGAAAGCGUGGGGAGCAAACAGG
This 253-nucleotide ribosomal RNA is filed under the name uncultured bacterium. Its description in RNAcentral is "partial 16S ribosomal RNA". It matches the Rfam family "Bacterial small subunit ribosomal RNA", at positions 524 to 776 of the family's 1533-position model. The record is from RNAcentral.